CAAGGCGUAGCUAUAAUCCAAAGCAUUCAGCUUACACCUGAAAGAUAUCUGCUCACCCCCAGAUCGCCUUGA
This 72-nucleotide transfer RNA is filed under the name Antrostomus carolinensis (chuck-will's-widow). RNAcentral describes it as "tRNA-Val". The record is from RNAcentral. Lineage: Eukaryota; Metazoa; Chordata; Aves; Caprimulgiformes; Caprimulgidae.